Molecule: ribosomal RNA, 554 nt
Filed under: uncultured Streptococcaceae bacterium
Lineage: Bacteria; Bacillati; Bacillota; Bacilli; Lactobacillales; Streptococcaceae
Description: SSU rRNA
Rfam family: Bacterial small subunit ribosomal RNA
Source: RNAcentral
UACGGGAGGCAGCAGUAGGGAAUCUUCGGCAAUGGGGGCAACCCUGACCGAGCAACGCCGCGUGAGUGAAGAAGGUUUUCGGAUCGUAAAGCUCUGUUGUAAGUCAAGAACGAGUAUGAGAGUGGAAAGUUCACACUGUGACGGUAACUUACCAGAAAGGGACGGCUAACUACGUGCCAGCAGCCGCGGUAAUACGUAGGUCCCGAGCGUUAUCCGGAUUUAUUGGGCGUAAAGCGAGCGCAGGCGGUUAGAUAAGUCUGAAGUUAAAGGCUGUGGCUUAACCAUAGUACGCUUUGGAAACUGUUUAACUUGAGUGCAGAAGGGGAGAGUGGAAUUCCAUGUGUAGCGGUGAAAUGCGUAGAUAUAUGGAGGAACACCGGUGGCGAAAGCGGCUCUCUGGUCUGUAACUGACGCUGAGGCUCGAAAGCGUGGGGAGCAAACAGGAUUAGAUACCCUGGUAGUCCACGCCGUAAACGAUGAGUGCUAGGUGUUGGGUCCUUUCCGGGACUCAGUGCCGCAGCUAACGCAUUAAGCACUCCGCUGGGGAGUACGAC